Molecule: ribosomal RNA, 253 nt
Filed under: uncultured bacterium
Lineage: Bacteria
Description: partial 16S ribosomal RNA
Rfam family: Bacterial small subunit ribosomal RNA
Source: RNAcentral
UACGGAGGGUGCAAGCGUUGCUCGGAAUUAUUGGGCGUAAAGGGUAGGUAGGUGGUCUCGUUUGUCUGAGGUGAAAGCCUUGAGCUUAACUCAAGAAGUGCCUUAGAAACGGCGAGACUAGAGUCCUGGAGAGGGUCGUGGAAUUCCCGGUGUAGCGGUGAAAUGCGUAGAGAUCGGGAGGAACACCAGAGGCGAAGGCGGCGACCUGGACAGGUACUGACACUCAACUACGAAAGCGUGGGGAGCAAACAGG